GAGAUUUGGGAGUGCUCGCAAGAGAACAUGCACACAGGUGCUGCAUGGCUGUCGUCAGCUCGUGUCGUGAGAUGUUGGGUUAAGUCCCGCAACGAGCGCAACCCUUGUCAUUAGUUGCUACGAAAGGGCACUCUAAUGAGACUGCCGGUGACAAACCGGAGGAAGGUGGGGAUGACGUCAAGUCCUCAUGGCCCUUAUGGGUAGGGCUUCACACGUCAUACAAUGGUACAUACAGAGGGCUGCCAAACCGCGAGGUGGAGCUAAUCCCAGAAAGUGUAUCGUAGUCCGGAUUGGAGUCUGCAACUCGACUCCAUGAAGUUGGAAUCGCUAGUAAUCGCGGAUCAGCAUGUCGCGGUGAAUACGUUCCCGGGUCUUGUACACACCGCCCGUCACACCAUGGGAGCGGGUUCUGCCAG
This 416-nucleotide ribosomal RNA is filed under the name bacterium 3A1. RNAcentral describes it as "bacterial SSU rRNA". It matches the Rfam family "Bacterial small subunit ribosomal RNA", at positions 1003 to 1423 of the family's 1533-position model. The record is from RNAcentral.